Non-coding RNA from Elaeis guineensis (African oil palm), 1991 nucleotides. NCBI's taxonomy places the organism in Eukaryota, Viridiplantae, Streptophyta, Magnoliopsida, Arecales, Arecaceae. The record is from RefSeq and is a predicted model, not a curated record.
ACUGAACCCAACAGACGUGGCCCAUCGGCAUGUUUCUACUCCCGGGACGCACAUUGACUCGUGGCUUAGAAUUCAGGUUCACAUCUGCUACCUGUUUGCCUCCUGCAAGAAGAAGGGGAGUGAGGGAGGUAAGGGGAGACCAAUGGGGGGGCUGAGGGCUUGGUUUCAGCUCCGGCGCCUAAUGGCGACGCCAAGGUCUCACCCUUCUCCGCAGCACCAAUCCCUUCUCCCAUCUCCUCAUCUAUCUCCAUAUCUCCCUAAGAACGGUAGCCCUCUCUCAUCUCUUUUGAGGUUCUUCUCCUCGAAUCCUGCCAUCUCUGGUGUGUAUGAGAGUGGUUUUGUUGGUGGGCAUCAGGUUUAUAGCCAUGGGAGUGCGGUGGAGUCUGGGGAAGAAGAGGACGUGGUUAGAUAUGUACCUGUUAAGGCCUACUUCCUCUGUACUAGUAUUAAUUUGAAGAGCAUGCAGACCGAGAAUGCGUGCAAUGUAAUUCCACCUACUUCUCGCUCGUCAAAUUAUGUCGCCCUCCGCUACUCUGAUUUCCCUCCAGAAAUUACGGACAUUGGAGUCAAGGAGAGUGGACAUUGUUACCGCUAUGUGGUUGUAUUCCAGUAUGGUUCUGCUGUUCUCUUCAACAUUGCAGAUCAUGAAGCUGAGCAAUACCUAGAUUUAAUUCGGAAACAUGCUUUUGGGUUGCUCCCAGAGAUGAGAAAGGAUGAUUAUGCUGUAGUCGAAAAGCCAUUACUUGAUACAUGGAUGCAAGGAGGACUUGACUACAUAGUUCUUAAAAGUCUGGAUAUUGAUGGGAUACGCAUAAUUGGAAGCGUACUUGGCCAAAGCAUUGCUCUUGAUCAUUAUAUACGACAGGUUGACGAUAUGGUUGAGGAAUUCACAGAUAUAAAUCGUGUUAUGGAAAAGACUGGAACUUUUACCAUGAAAAGGAAGAAACUAUUUCAACUUGUUGGGAAGGCAAACUCAAGUCUAGCUGAUGUGAUUAUAAAGCUGGGCCUUUUUGAUAGAUAUGAUAACAUAAUGAUUCCAAUAUCAAGUUUGACUGGACUAUCCCUACCGUAUAUCCACCACUAUAAUGGGUGUCAGAGGCAUGGCAGAUCUCCAGCCAUAACAACAUGAACUCUAUGGCUUGUAGGUCUGAGAUUGCUUGGAAAAAUGCAAACUAUGCCCAGAUUUUGGAGUAUCUCCGAGAGGAGUAUGAACUGACUCAACGCUUUGGAAACCUUGAUUUCAAACUGAAAUUUGUAGAGCACAACAUCCAUUUUCUUCAAGAAGUCCUUCAGAACAGAAGAUCUGAUCUCUUGGAAUGGGGAGUCAUUAUAUUGUUAACCAUUGAGAACAUCAUUUCAAUGUAUGAAAUCAUCAAAGAUUCCAACAUAGUCCCCUCUUGAGAUGCACCGGUGACCUACUACCUCAUCCAUAUCCUGGCAGUGCUGUUGGAGUUGGCUCCGGAGUCUUUCCUCCCUAGCCUUUCACCCCCAAUAUUCCUCAGUUUUUGUUGUCUUCGCUCCAAAUAUACCUCAAUAUGCUAUACCAUUGCCUUUUCCAAUACUUGCAGUUAAAAAGCAUUUUAUCAUAUAUUUUCAGAGAAUCCAUUCCCUUAUGGUGAUUUGGAUGUGGACCAUUUACCUCCAGCAUGCCCAUUAACCUUGCAGUCUUUGAAAGGUUUGCAGCUUCUUUGACACUUUUGGCUCCCCUCUUCGGUCACUUUUUAAUUUAAGGAACUGAUUUCCAGUGUCUUAGUUUCAGUAGCACACCUCUAACCCUCCUAUAUAUUGAACUCUUUGCCUUAAAUACAGUACCCUGAAAUUCUUAAGAGGGUUCAUGUUUUGAAAUAAAUUAUUCAGAUAUCACUGCACUUAGAUUAUUUUUUUAAUGUUGAGUCACCAUUGAGUGAUUUAUCUUCUCAGAUUUACUGUAAACAAACAGAAAGUUAUGGAUGGAAUUGUUAUGAUAUAUUGAUUCAUUUUUCUUCGAUUCA